GCGCCGUUAGCUGAGCUGGUUUAGCACCGGACUCUUAAUCCGAGGACGCAGGUUCGAGCCCUGCACGGCGCAC
RNAcentral lists this transfer RNA (73 nucleotides) under Actinocatenispora sera. RNAcentral's name for it is "tRNA-Lys". It matches the Rfam family "tRNA". From Rfam's summary of the family: Transfer RNA (tRNA) molecules are approximately 80 nucleotides in length. The record is from RNAcentral. Lineage: Bacteria; Bacillati; Actinomycetota; Actinomycetes; Micromonosporales; Micromonosporaceae.